GUGUAUUCGUAGACCGCAUACGUCACUUCCGCCGAAAGAAGGCUGUCCCAAUAAAAAAAUAAAAAGACUCCUCCGAAUGCGGCCCACGAAUGCGGCCUUCUUUUUACGGAUUUGAAGGAUACAUCUGAUGUAUCCUCCGCGGUCUACCAUAUCCCAGGAUGCAAUGCGCGGUGGGGACGAGUGAGUUUUGUUCAAAGGAAAUGGCUUCCGGUCUCCCCAGCAGAGUGGAUUUAAAAACAGCAGCAAGCGGAGGAAUCACUAAUAAAUGACAAUUCUGGAAAAAUGGAUCUGCUGGAGAAGGGCCCUUACUCUGUGUGUGCACAGCGAUCAUCAGGACAGAGCUGCCAUCCACCUGGACCCCCGUGGUGCUGGAGAAAGCAGAAGGCGUUCAGGAACAUCCUCCACCCAGACCUCUGCUUACUGCACUCCUACAGACGUAUGAGUGCAGAACUGUAGAGAUCAUCACUGCUGCCACUUUAGCCUUACAUACUUUUACUUCAAAUUAACACAUUGUGUGCCUUAUAGUGCUUCUCAUUUUGCAUACACUGUACUUAUUACAUUGCUGUUAACAGUUUAUUUAUUUGCAAUACUCUCUAGAUUUAAUCUACAAUUUAGAUGAUAUUACUUAAUCUAAAUUGUGUUUGUUUAUAUGAAUCUAUAUUUUAUCUUGCACUUUUUUUGUGUGUUUCUGUAUCUGAUCCCGAAACAGCUGCACAUAUAAUCAAAAACAAACGACUCGAUAAACACAUGUUAGCUGAUAUUUGUUUUACUGCUGGUGAUGUUAAAUAACAGGAUUGAUUUCCUCUGUCUCAAUGAUGAAAGUUAUAAUAAUAGAAGACAUGAAGCUGCAGAGAGAGGAUGGAUAUAUUCUUCCCUCCACUUUGUGAUUAGAUGAAAAUACAAAAUGUAAUUAAAAUAGUAAUUGUUAAA
Long non-coding RNA from Gymnodraco acuticeps, 930 nucleotides. RefSeq lists it as uncharacterized. The transcript is spliced from 2 exons. Lineage: Eukaryota; Metazoa; Chordata; Actinopteri; Perciformes; Bathydraconidae. The record is from RefSeq and is a predicted model, not a curated record.